CCCGACUGCUAUCAGAGUGGGACUAAGCCAUGCGAGUCAACGCCGCAAGGCGUGGCAUACGGCUCAGUAACACGUAGUCAACAUGCCCAAAGGACGUGGAUAACCUCGGGAAACUGAGGAUAAACCGCGAUAGGCCAAGGUUUCUGGAAUGAGCCAUGGCCGAAAUCUAUAUGGCCUUUGGAUUGGACUGCGGCCGAUCAGGCUGUUGGUGAGGUAAUGGCCCACCAAACCUGUAACCGGUACGGGCUUUGAGAGAAGGAGCCCGGAGAUGGGCACUGAGACAAGGGCCCAGGCCCUAUGGGGCGCAGCAGGCGCGAAACCUCUGCAAUAGGCGAAAGCUUGACAGGGUUACUCUGAGUGAUGCCCGCUAAGGGUAUCUUUUGGCACCUCUAAAAAUGGUGCAGAAUAAGGGGUGGGCAAGUCUGGUGUCAGCCGCCGCGGUAAUACCAGCACCCCGAGUUGUCGGGACGAUUAUUGGGCCUAAAGCAUCCGUAGCCUGUUCUGCAAGUCCUCCGUUAAAUCCACCUGCUUAACGGAUGGGCUGCGGGGGAUACUGCAGAGCUAGGAGGCGGGAGAGGCAAACGGUACUCAGUGGGUAGGGGUAAAAUCCUUUGAUCUACUGAAGACCACCAGUGGCGAAGGCGGUUUGCCAGAACGCGCUCGACGGUGAGGGAUGAAAGCUGGGGGAGCAAACCGGAUUAGAUACCCGGGUAGUCCCAGCUGUAAACGAUGCAGACUCGGUGAUGGGUUGGCCUCGAGCCAACCCAGUGCCGCAGGGAAGCCGUUAAGUCUGCCGCCUGGGGAGUACGGUCGCAAGACUGAAACUUAAAGGAAUUGGCGGGGGAGCACCACAAGGGGUGAAGCCUGCGGUUC
Molecule: ribosomal RNA, 873 nt
Filed under: uncultured crenarchaeote
Lineage: Archaea; Thermoproteati; Thermoproteota
Description: bacterial SSU rRNA
Rfam family: Archaeal small subunit ribosomal RNA
Source: RNAcentral